Hemicordylus capensis (graceful crag lizard) is the source of this 6802-nucleotide long non-coding RNA. RefSeq lists it as uncharacterized. NCBI's taxonomy places the organism in Eukaryota, Metazoa, Chordata, Lepidosauria, Squamata, Cordylidae. The record is from RefSeq and is a predicted model, not a curated record. The transcript has 4 exons.
GCGAGGCAUCCUGGAGAGACCCGCGGGGUCGGGAGGCUUGUUUCAGUCUCUCGGCGGGGGUCUCCUUGUGUGUUGCUGCUGCGUGGAGCCGCACCAUGGCAAUACAUGAUCAAAAAGUUGGGGUUAGUGGAGCCCUCUCUCCGCUAACCUCGUCUAAGGGGAGGGGGAAUUAGGAGGGUUUGCUGCCAGGAGCUGCACUGCUCCCAUGGCAGCAGAUGAUCAGCAAAAAGCAGGCUCGGCUCCCUUAGCCCGCUUUUUGCUGGUCGUGAGAAUCUCCUUAUUGUAUCCAUUUUAUUGUUGUAAGCCGCCCCAAGCAGUAGUGUACUGGAGGGGUGAGGUAUAAAUAUUUUAAAAAAUAGUUUCUAGAUUGCAGAUUCCUUCACUGGCAGUGAAGAGUGUUGGAGUGAAGACCAUAAGGUCUUUUAUUUCUGUCAGGGCUGGUGAAAUGAGAAAUCCUUUUAAAAAUAAAGGACAACGAUUAUUAUACAUGAAUGAUUUAACUCAUGUCUCUGAGAUAAAUAGGGAAACAGGCUUCGUCACAUAGGCCUUGGCUCCGUAGCUGUGACAGUGACCUCUUACUCCAUUUUACCUCAGAACUGCUAGGCCUCAGUCCUCCUAUUCGGUUUUUACAACCCUCCAAUCUUGUACCUCAUAAACAGAAGAGGCUGCUAAAUUCCUUGUAUAGGCUAUAGGGCCCAGGACUUUUAGGCAUGACAGGCAGAUCAAGAAUAGUAAAAUGAAACAGAAUGAACCACUGUUGAAUAGAAGCAGCAACGCUAACACUGCUAAGUAUUUGAGGCUUAUGUGCUAGAACAGAUCCAAUCUAUGUCCGAGACAAGAGUUAAAUCGUUCAAAUGUAAUAAUGGUUUCCUUUUUAUUUUCAAGAGAUUUCUCUUUCCUGGAGAAGGAGGGGAGGGGCAUAUUUCAUCAACUCCGACUGAAAUUUUUCUCAGCUGUUACUAGGGCAAAAGGCAAAAAGAGCAGGAAAAGCCACUGUUCACCCCACUUCUCGGCACAUUUGCUUCCCCCUCCUCCUUCUCCUUUUUUUUUUUAAGGCAGGGAAAAUCAAAUAAAAAUAAUUUCCACUUAUGCUGGCAUACCAUAUAAAAGUUAAUUAUUUGGGUGGGGGGAGGGGAUAUUUUGAGCUAUAAACUAGCUCUAAUACUCAUCUUGUGUUCUUCAUUUUCCUCAUCUCCACUCCUAUAAAACUAUCCACUCUACCCUUCUUCAAACAGUUGCUCCCCUUUAAAAAAGGGGCAGGAAAAUAUCAAAUAAAAAUACAGAAUUGGGAGCAAAAUAAGCAUUUUAUAAUUUAUUUGCAACAACACAGAAAUGGUACUGUCACACAACACAGAUUUCUCAUUGAACACCUUUUCUCACUGCAUCUCCCCAAGCUUUUCAUCUUUUCUUGUUUCAGAAGGUGACUUACAAUCAAGAUAGCAAAUGCAAACCAAUUAUAAAGCAGUAGCAGCACUACAACUUGAGGUAUGCAAGUGACAGAAAUCGGUUAAACCUUCAGCAGUCCUGUUCUUCAUUUAGCAACCAAAAAAACGGAGAGAUAAAUGCAAAGAUAUUCUUUCAUGAAGAGAUAGACUAAUUUCAGCCAAAACUGGUCUCUAUAACCCACCACUGGGAGAACAGGCUAUCAAGCGAUGACACCGAGAUCUCUCCCCAUACAUACAUGUAAUCCUUCUCAGUUUCCUUCUGAUUGUUUGCAUCACAAGAAGUUCAUUCAACAGUUACCAUUAUACAGUUUGCAUCACAAGCAGUAAAAGCCCAUAGGAGGAAAUGAAAGAGAAAAAAGAUACUGAGAAGAAGAAAAAUAGAAAUGAUAAAGAGACUCGUACUAGUGCAGCUGAGAAGAUUUCUGAAUCCAGCCCUUUCUCGUGCACCUUUACUGAAGAGGAAAUGUGGCCACAUCGUUGGAGAAGUUCCUGUCUCUGGUCUCCAUCAAAUGAACCUGUGACAAUGGCAAGCCAGGAAACAGGGUUUGUGAAGUGAUCUAAAUUCUGAGGCAAGUUCAUGUGGAAAUAGGGUCUCGUUCAGGUUUCCAGACCAAGUGUAAACUGUAGUUUGCCAGUAAGAACAAACAGAAAACUAUGGUUUGCCUCAAACCAGGAAAUGAGGGGAGCAUCGCUACAUGUUAGGGGAAUGUAUGAGCUCAAGGGGCCAGCCAAGCAUGUGCAUGUAACAUUACAAAAAGAGCUGGUUGUCUUAUUUAAACAAUGUAAGUGGGGGGAAUGGGGGGGAGGGGACAUUAUGACAAGCCUGAAGGGCUUGUUCUGUAAUUGUUAUACUAUAAAAUGCAAAUCCAAAAAAAUAGAAACAGCUUGACAGUUGAGCAGGAGAGAAUGAGUGAGGGAAUGUGGGUUUGGUGGGAAAUGUUCUCUUAGAGGUCAAAUAUGUGCAUCUGUAAUUUGUAGAAGGAAAAAAAGUUAUAUAAAAGAAAAAGUUGGUUCAGACGUAUAAAUUCAAUAUAUAAAAUAUGCCAUGUCAGUAUAUAAAUUUCAGCUUAUCCUUAAAGAUUGCUAUUGCUGCUGAAAUAUUGUGUGCAUUUGUUUGUAGCAUAGAUAAUAAGCAAAAAACCCCAAAAAACUCUUCCCAUAGUGCCUAAAAUAUAUAAUGUAUGCAUUACAUAAAAAGUGAACAUAUGUGUCUAAAGUGGUCAAUUAGGAAGCAUUUGUCUGUUUAAGGAGCAGCUUAACUGAUCCACGUAAUUAAUCUGUUAUCAUAUCUUACUCAUAUUUGACCACACAAUUUUUCCUUUGGUAAAAUAAUUGGCUUAUUCACAAAUGGCUUUUUAAAAAAAUGCUUUGAUGACUAAGUGUAAACCUUGAUACAAAAGGUAUCAAGGUUUCUAAUACACUGUACUAACACAUAAUUUAGAAGGUUUAUGGUGAGGGUUGAUUGCUCCAAGUGAUGUCUGUUAGAUCUAGUGAAAGACAUAAGGCUGAGACUAUAUAUGCACUUUUGAAAAUGGGAGUAUUGCAACCUAGCAUGGGGCUAAGGAAUGCUCAGUUAUAUCUUGAUUUGGGUUGGGUGAGACGAUAAAAAUGAUAUUUCAGGUGUCUGUGAAUUUGUUCACCAGUUCCUUUGCCUACUUAGUAUUUAUAUGUCCACUUCAUUUGCCACUUACUCACUUGCUCUGUAGGUUCAUUACUUCAAACCUGAAACGCUGAUGAAAGCUUCUUUCUGAGCAGUGGCGGCUGGUGAGGUGGUGCUGGGCACAGGUGAGGAGGGGAGAAGCCCUGAGAGAGGUAACUUUAAGAAGUUAUUACUGGCAGCACUGCUGGCACCUGCAAGCAACAGUAAGCAGUGGCACCCCACCCAGAAUCCCAUGCGGCGGCUGUGGUUCUGGCACUCACCUGGUCUCUCUGCGUGUGUGGAGGGCAUUUGUGUGGUCAGCAACACCGUGCUGGUCAUGCAAAUACACAUGUGCAGAGGCCAGGUGAAUGCAGUUACUGCAGCUGCUAUGUGGGAUGCCAGGUAGGGUGCUGCUGCUCGUGGUGGCUUGCAAGUGCCGGCUGUGCUGCUGGUAAUAACUUUUUAAAGGUACCUCUCUCUGCCCCCCGCCCCGCGCUGCCCUCACUGGCUGCCACUGUUUCUGAGUGGGAUUAGCUCUGCAGGAUCAAUGCCACAUGAGGGCUUCUAAACUUGAACAGCCAAAGGGAAGGAAGGUGAGGCAACUUGGGCAAUAAAUUUGUGUAGCCUCAUGGAAACUAGUGAUAAGUAGAGUUGACACAGCUCCCCUGCUGUAGUGAGUGAGUGUCGAAGCCUUAGUCCCUGAUAACUGGGCAAAGAGGCACCUUUUUAACAUGGUGAUUCUCUUUAUUUAGCAGGGGUAGAGUAACUGGCCCUAUCCACCCCCAUCAUAGUACCUCCAGUGAUUGUUGCUGAUGUCUGUCCUACAUUUCUUUUUAGAUUGUGAGCCCUUUGGGGACAGGGAUCUAUCUUAUUCUCUAUAUAAACUGCUUUGGAAACUUUUGUUGAAAAGUGGCAUAUAAAUAAUUGUUGUUAGUCAUAACCAGACGCAUUUCCAGACAUUUUGUCUUCCAGGGCCCAAGAAAAAUUGCUGGAGCUGGUUAUUUGGGGACAAAAUGUGCACCUGUGCAGAUGACAUGUUUGCACUCCUAGAUUUCUAAUGUGAGUGGAGCCAGGGAUUAGGGCAGAAUCUGGUGCUGCAACACCUUUUAAUGAAUGUAGACUGGUAAAAUAUGUGCCCAACGUCUGGGGCGCUGCUGGCUCCUAAAAGGUUGGCAGUUUAAGCCUAUUUCAUUUGUAAUCACAAGGAGCUCAGAGUGGCAUAAAUUGCUCCACCCACUUAUUGUCACAACAGCUUCCUGAAGUAUGUUAUAUUGAGAACUGGUGACUGGGCCAAAAUCAUUUGAGUCUGGGUCUUCCGGUCAGAGUCCAACUCUGACCAUUAUAUCACACUACCCUUUUUAACAGGACUUAAGUGCUCUUCAGAUGUCAUGUAAAACACCACUCUAAAUGUAUACAGUGCCAAAAGUGGGUCUGAAAGUCCCACCCUGGAGCAUCACUCAGCCUGCUCACUGCGCUGCUCAGCCAUUUGUCUGAAGAGGCAGAUGCUGUAACUGUGAUGGCGGAUAUUUGCCUCCCAGAAAUGCCCACCAUUAUGGUUACAGUAUUCACCUUUUUAGACAAACAUCAUCACUGAGCAGUGUGGUGAGCGGGCUGAGUGAUGCACUGCGAUGGGAGUUCCUACUUUUGGAGCUGUGCACAUUUACAGUGCUAGUUUACAUAAUGUCUGGACUAACCAUCCAAUAUUUUAUCACUUGAGAGUUCUAGGAGAGAUGAAGAUGAAGUAGUCCACACAGACUUGUUCAUGUAACCUGUUGCAAUAAUCUCAAUAUUUCCUUCCUUGUAAAUUUUAGACAACACUUGCUGCAUCCUGUGAGCCUUCUACUGGUGUGAACUGCUUGUAUCUGAGCAACUAUGCAUAGAGAUGUAAAAUUUUCAGAAAUUUUGAAAUCAUAGGGAAAACCCCAAAUUUUUAAAUUUUUCCUGAAAAGCAAAUGGAAAUUUUGGGAAUAAUUGAAAUAUAUGCAAUAACAUUUAUCAUGUUUGGUAUAUUACAUUUAGUAGUACUGUAUUGCUAUUGGUAGUUUCUGCUUCUUUUGAGCCUUCAUUUUCUAUCAACUUAAUGACUACUGAAAACUGAAUUACCUAUAUUGAGACAAGCCUCUCUACCUUUGCACGUGUUCCUUUAUUUUUUUUUAAUUUUAUUAUUUUAUUUUAUUUUCAAACAUAGACCAGUUUCUUUCACAUGCUAUAGAAGAUGGAGGAUUCUGGGAGAGUAAAGGUCAGAACACCUCUCCUUAUAUGAAUAUAUCUGAACAUCUUUUCUUAAACAUUUUAUUCAUAAUUUCAAAAGAAAAUAUUUCAUAAUCAAUUUUUUUCCAUUUCCCCAAUUUUGUAAGUGUAGAAAAAAACAAAGUCCUUGGGAGAGAAAAAUGGGGGGGGGAGAGACUCUCACCCACCCAGAUUUUCCCCCAGGCAUUUACAUCUCUGUGCAUCUAAGUUCUAACAGAUCCGAUUCUAACAUCCAUCCCUUAAAAAUUCUACACCAAAACCUGGUCACAAGGAUUAGAAGUAUUGCUCUCAAGUCAGUGUGUGUAGGAUUGAGGAAGGUAUUAUCAGAACCAGAUUUACAACCCACUUCUGUGUAUGUUUAACUAAAAGUAAAACUAGCACUGUUAGUCUUCAGACAUUUUCAGACCAUCAUCGUCUCAGAUCUGUAAAUUCUAUAUUUCUAAAUUCACUCCAGUCCUGUGCAUGUGUACUCGGAAAUGAAAAUUGACCUCUUCCUGUCUCCUGCUGGAUUAUGUGUGAAUGUCUUUGCUGCCUAAUUAUCUCUGGAUUAGGAAACUGGGUAGUUGUACCUAUUGCCUGAGUAGUAGAAAUGUAAACAUUAUUGAAUAAAUUAUUAGUUUAGACUAUUAAAAUCACAUUGUUUACAUGUUUCAACACUGGAAUAAGGCCUGACUUCUCCCCAGUUUGGCUGUGGUGUUAAGUCCUAAUGACCUUCCUGUCUCAACCUAGGUCAGGGUAGGCCAUUUUUGGUACUCCAACUCUUGUUGAACUACAACUCCCAUCAUUCCCAGCCACAAUAAAUUAACAGCACACAAAUUUACACAAACAGUAAAUUGUGAUUGUACAGUAUGUAAAACUUCUGAAUAUGAGACAUUUUUUUCCAUUUUGCUGUUAAGCUACAUUGUGAGGGCUUCUUAUGUUGAAAAGUGAUAGAUUAUAUACUUAAAGUUAUUGUAAGUAAUCUCAAGAAUAUAUUCAGUCCUAACUAUAAAAUCUUAUACAUUUUCCAUGGACCUAUGCUCUCUUGGUUUAACUUACGUCACAGGGCUGUUGUGGGGAUAAAAAUGAGAGAUCCCUGUUUACAACACAUCCAAGCACUAAGCUAAUAGCUCGCUAUGAGCCUUUCUAAAUGAGGGGGUUUGCUAUGGUUGGAUUAGUCAGUUUGCCCAAAGUGACUGUGGGCUGUGCAAACACUCAAGAUUUUCCUACUAUUUUGUACUGUUUCUUGCUCAGUUUCCUGCAGACACCUUGGUCUUCUGCAUUAAAAAAAUGUUGAUGUAAUGCUCCUCUUCCAUGCAGCAGAGCCUUUCCUCUCUGCCCAUUAUGGCUGCCUGCUGUUGCCGCCAGUGUUGCAUGCGCAUUGUGGGAGAACAGUGUAAUUUUUAUCGUUAAUAUUGAUUGAUGUUGUUAUUGUUAAUUUCAAGAAUAAACUUGUUUUUACUUGUAAGAAUUAAAGGCUUUAUCAUUC